Long non-coding RNA from Myotis davidii, 1929 nucleotides. RefSeq lists it as uncharacterized. The record is from RefSeq and is a predicted model, not a curated record. The transcript is spliced from 3 exons. Lineage: Eukaryota; Metazoa; Chordata; Mammalia; Chiroptera; Vespertilionidae.
GAGAAAAAGCAAAGGGAACAAAAUAAAGACCUAGUCCAAGCAAUGAGGAAACUCUGUGUUUCUGCAACAGCGGCAUUGGGGCAGGGAAGCAGGAGGGUGAGGUGGGACAAGGCUGAGGAAACAAAGUAAUUGCUACUGAGAGUCUUCUUUGUGCCAGUCAAGGUGCCAAGUGCUUCAAAUGGCUUACCUCACCAGCACUCAGAAGUAGCUCCACAGGAACCCGAGGCUCAGAGUUUACUGGCUUAUUCAAAAUCACCAGCUAGAGCCUGGAUUUAAACUCAGGUCCGUCAACUGCUGAACUUGUACUCACUCCUCCCAUCCCCUUUGGUUCUUUAUGUUGCUUUCGAGUCUGCAGCCUGGCUAUGUCUGAAAACAUGAAAAUACUACUUAACUGAGAGCUUAUGCCACUCAUUCUCUGCCAGGGCCUGACCACAGGUGGCCGUGCCAGAAAGGUAAGAGCAAGAUCGCAGCUGGAGCUGGCUCAGGAUGGGAGUGGGUACGAAGUUUAUCAUCAAGGCCCUAGAUUUCAGCCAAAUCCUCAGACUGUUAACUAUUUCCAAUUAAGCCAUGCUGCUGUGUCACUACUUCAACCUUCGGGCUAAAAAGACUGUCGUGAAGGUUGUCAGAGCUUGAUGUCAACACAGGAAGGGCAUGAGAUUGGGCCAUUUCAGGAAGCAGCCACACCUAUACCACGGCCACGGCAGCCUAGGUACUGUCAGAGGAGUAAGUUAAUGAACCAGUAAAAUGGAUGUCAGGUUACUCUGUCCCUGGAGGUCACCCUUGCCUGAAAGAUCCCCUUCAGCCAACCAGCUGAACUGGAAGGACGGUACAAAGCCAAGGGAAAUUAAGCCAGGGCAGGGCUGUCCAGUAGUUGAAGUGUGGCCUUCAUGCCACCAGGGUGCUGAGAAGUAGCAAAGCUACUCAGGGUAGGGCAGAACUUGACCAAUUCUAUAUUACAACCCCACUGGGUCCUAAGUAACCAGAACACAGCAGGGGUAAAGGGGCAAAGAAAACAUUCGCACUCAGCUAGCAAAACUAAAUCCACUUGUAAGUAAAUCCUGACAAUCUCAAUUUAUAGACCUCAGGCUGGGCUGGGUAUCAGAGAAGUUUGUGAGGCCUGGGCAGUCCUCACAAGUACUAGAACUUCCAGGCUUGCUUUCCUCUUAUAGCACCCUUAAGGCAACUUCCUCAAAAGGAAACUGUUCGUAUUUGACCAUCUUUAUCUGAUGUGAAUUAUGUGCAAGGUACUGUGGGGAAACCAAAUGUAUUAGUCAUGGUUUCUUCUGCCCUGAUGCUUACUUACUGUCUAGUUGAGAUAAAUGUAUCUGUACAGACAAAUCACAGGGCAGUACCAAUAACUGUAACCUGUGUAGUACAGAUUAGGAAUUAAGCAGAUUAGGAAGGCCACAGGAAAGAUAGCUCCUGAUUAGGGCUUUGACUCUGAGUGUGCAUGCACGCAUGUGCACGUACAUGUAUGUACACAUACACACACCUGAAAUAGUGAACCCUGGGUUAGACUGAGGUGGAAUUUGUAGAAAAGCGUCCCUCUGGGCCAGGAGAAGAGCACAGGCAAAGGCAUUAGGAUGGAGACGAAGCCAGUUUUAUUUCUCUAGUUAAGUCAGCCAGCUGAUGUAGGAAGAAUGAGUCCCUAGCAAGUAGGUACCUCUGACAUACCUACUUCAGAGGCUGUUUCCCAUUUCUGCCAAAGGGGACUUCUUAUUAGGGCUAAUUAUUAGGUGAUUAAAUGAGAAAAAAAAGGACACAUAAUUAGAAAGGACUAAUUACCCUGCCUCCCUGGAUGCUGGAUAUGGGAUUAAAAGUAGUACUGUCGGAUAGGUGGCAGAGCGGCAAGGAAGAGCUUAGGAAUCCAGGAGACAGUGCACUCCAGCCUCUGUCAUUAAUGGGCUCUGUGAUGGCAACCAAAGUAUU